RNAcentral lists this ribosomal RNA (401 nucleotides) under Paracotalpa ursina. RNAcentral's name for it is "partial small subunit ribosomal RNA". The record is from RNAcentral. Lineage: Eukaryota; Metazoa; Arthropoda; Insecta; Coleoptera; Scarabaeidae.
CCCUAUUAUUGAAAAUGUAAAUAUAAAUGCUUGAGUAUUAGUAGCUAUGUUCUUGAAAUUUAAAGGAUUUGGCGGUAUUAUAGUCUAUUCAGAGGAACCUGUCCUAUAAUUGAUGAUCCACGAUUAAUCUUACUUGUUUUAAAGGUUUGUAUAUCGUCGUAGGUUGAAUGUUUUGAAAGGAAGAGGAAUAUUCAAGAUAUUAGGUUAAAGAGGAAAUCAGAUCAAGAUACAGCGGAUAGACAAGGAGAGAUGGGUUACAAUAAAUUUAUUUAUAUGGUUGAAAUAGUUAACACUAUUUUUUAAAGUGGAUUUGAUUGUAAUAUAGUUUCGUUAAACUAUAUGACUGAAGCUCUAUAAUUUGCCCUUUUCGCCCGUCGCUCCUGCUCUAAAGCAGGAUAAGU